UUGUGGCCACUUAAGCUAACUGAGUUCCUCUGCUCAUGGGGGUGUGGUUUGUAGUGGCUAUAAGCAACAGCUUUCCUGGGCAGUGCAUAGAUCCUGUUACUUAUGUAGCUUGUCCUAAGGGACACAAGGUGCCUCUG
This is a small nucleolar RNA of Dipodomys ordii (Ord's kangaroo rat), 137 nucleotides long. Its record names the gene SNORA70. It matches the Rfam family "Small nucleolar RNA SNORA70". From Rfam's summary of the family: snoRNA U70 seems to be exclusive to mammals and is a member of the H/ACA class of snoRNA which contain H (ANANNA) and ACA box motifs. H/ACA box snoRNAs are involved in the conversion of uridines to pseudouridines (5-ribosyluracil) a constituent of structural RNAs (transfer, ribosomal, small nuclear, and small nucleolar). NCBI's taxonomy places the organism in Eukaryota, Metazoa, Chordata, Mammalia, Rodentia, Heteromyidae. The record is from Ensembl.